Long non-coding RNA from Papaver somniferum (opium poppy), 857 nucleotides. RefSeq lists it as uncharacterized. The record is from RefSeq and is a predicted model, not a curated record. The transcript is spliced from 5 exons. Lineage: Eukaryota; Viridiplantae; Streptophyta; Magnoliopsida; Ranunculales; Papaveraceae.
GCGCCUAAUAAGAUUCAUAAAGGUUGCUGCAAUUUAGGGACGUCCUGGGUUUAGGCUGAAUUACGGUGUUCUGUUUAGCAAAUAUUAGGAUUUAUCACUCCUUUAUCUCAGCAUUAACAGUUCCCAUGUUUGAAUGAUCGUUGCGCUAAAACCAAUUAAAAUAAAAGGAUUUUCUCCAAUUGAAGUAAUCCAGGGUUAACGAUUCACACGACCCUGCUUCCUUUGAUCAAACGACGCAUCUGAUUCGAUCAAGAUGUGCUCCUUCGUUUUCUCCUACUUUUCUGUAGAGUUUCUAAUGACGAGGAUAUUUGUUUGUUUUUUUAGUCAAGGUGAUUAUACAGAUUGCACUAAAGCAGUGACCACCAAAGAUAUCAUGAACAUUAACAGUACAAGAAGAUAUUGAGAUCGAAGUUGAGGAGGUUUUUUGGUUUGGUGAGACAAUCUCAGCGUUCUUCAUCAAAACGCUGGAAUUGCCAUAGUUGGAAUAAUCUCGGGUUCUUUUGUAUGUGGUACAUGACUAAUAGCUCAUAGUUGGAACUGCCAUACACUUGCGCGCAGGUAAUGCUUUUACAUAUGGCGUUGCGAGUAAUAGGAAGACACACUGGUUAUCCAAGUAAUUUUCGUAUAUGCCUCAAAUUAGCAAAGCACCUGAGCAUGAAAGGCUCACUGUAACAGUCUUCCGUUGGACUUGACAUAUGUUUUUUUGCUCAUACAAGUUUUAUUUCUGCUGAGACAUAACCAUCUAUCGUCUUGAUAUUAUUUAGAAAAUUUUCACAUGCUAAUUUGUGGAUCAUUUUGGGUUUAUGUUAUAUGGUUGAUGAUUAUGAAAGAGUAGAUGAUUUUGUAUUUUCUUUUUA